RNAcentral lists this ribosomal RNA (468 nucleotides) under uncultured bacterium. RNAcentral describes it as "partial 16S ribosomal RNA". It matches the Rfam family "Bacterial small subunit ribosomal RNA", at positions 28 to 507 of the family's 1533-position model. The record is from RNAcentral.
GACGAACGCUGGCGGCGUGCUUAACACAUGCAAGUCGAACGGAAAGGCCCUGCUUUUGUGGGGUGCUCGAGUGGCGAACGGGUGAGUAACACGUGAGUAACCUGCCCUUGACUUUGGGAUAACUUCAGGAAACUGGGGCUAAUACCGGAUAGGAGCUCCUGCUGCAUGGUGGGGGUUGGAAAGUUUCGGCGGUUGGGGAUGGACUCGCGGCUUAUCAGCUUGUUGGUGGGGUAGUGGCUUACCAAGGCUUUGACGGGUAGCCGGCCUGAGAGGGUGACCGGACACAUUGGGACUGAGAUACGGCACAGACUCCUACGGGAGGCAGCAGUGGGGAAUAUUGCACAAUGGGCGGAAGCCUGAUGCAGCAACGCCGCGUGCGGGAUGACGGCCUUCGGGUUGUAAACCGCUUUCGCCUGUGACGAAGCGUGAGUGACGGUAAUGGGUGAAGAAGCACCGGCUAACUACGUG